UACGGAGGGAGCUAGCGUUGUUCGGAAUUACUGGGCGUAAAGCGCGCGUAGGCGGCUGUUUAAGUCAGAGGUGAAAGCCUGGAGCUCAACUCCAGAACUGCCUUUGAGACUGGACAGCUAGAAUCCUGGAGAGGUGAGUGGAAUUCCGAGUGUAGAGGUGAAAUUCGUAGAUAUUCGGAAGAACACCAGUGGCGAAGGCGGCUCACUGGACAGGUAUUGACGCUGAGGUGCGAAAGCGUGGGGAGCAAACAGG
RNAcentral lists this ribosomal RNA (253 nucleotides) under uncultured bacterium. RNAcentral describes it as "partial 16S ribosomal RNA". It matches the Rfam family "Bacterial small subunit ribosomal RNA", at positions 524 to 776 of the family's 1533-position model. The record is from RNAcentral.